RNAcentral lists this ribosomal RNA (468 nucleotides) under uncultured bacterium. RNAcentral's name for it is "partial 16S ribosomal RNA". It matches the Rfam family "Bacterial small subunit ribosomal RNA", at positions 28 to 507 of the family's 1533-position model. The record is from RNAcentral.
GACGAACGCUGGCGGCGUGCUUAACACAUGCAAGUCGAACGGAAAGGCCCUGCUUUUGUGGGGUGCUCGAGUGGCGAACGGGUGAGUAACACGUGAGUAACCUGCCCUUGACUUUGGGAUAACUUCAGGAAGCUGGGGCUAAUACCGGAUAGGGGCUCCUGCUGCAUGGUGGGGGUUGGAAAGUUUCGGCGGUUGGGGAUGGACUCGCGGCUUAUCAGCUUGUUGGUGGGGUAGUGGCUUACCAAGGCUUUGACGGGUAGCCGGCCUGAGAGGGUGACCGGCCACAUUGGGACUGAGAUACGGCCCAGACUCCUACGGGAGGCAGCAGUGGGGAAUAUUGCACAAUGGGCGGAAGCCUGAUGCAGCAACGCCGCGUGCGGGAUGACGGCCUUCGGGUUGUAAACCGCUUUCGCCUGUGACGAAGCGUGAGUGACGGUAAUGGGUAAAGAAGCACCGGCUAACUACGUG